UAAAACUCAAAGGNNNNGACGGGGGCCCGCACAAGCGGCGGAGCAUGCGGAUUAAUUCGAUGCAACGCGAAGAACCUUNCCAAGGCUUGACAUGUGCCGGUCUGCUCCGGAGACGGGGUUUCCUCCCUUGUGGGGGCUGGUUCACAGGUGGUGCAUGGUUGUCGUCAGCUCGUGUCGUGAGAUGUUGGGUUAAGUCCCGCAACGAGCGCAACCCUUGUCUCGUGUUGCCAGCACGUUGUGGUGGGGACUCGCGGGAGACUGCCGGGGUCAACUCGGAGGAAGGUGGGGAUGACGUCAAAUCAUCAUGCCCCUUAUGUCUUGGGCUUCACGCAUGCUACAAUGGCCGGUACAGAGGGCUGCGAUACCGUGAGGUGGAGCGAAUCCCUUAAAGCCGGUCUCAGUUCGGAUCGGUGUCUGCAACUCGACACCGUGAAGUUGGAGUCGCUAGUAAUCGCAGAUCAGCAACGCUGCGGUGAAUACGUUCUCGGNC
RNAcentral lists this ribosomal RNA (490 nucleotides) under uncultured bacterium. RNAcentral describes it as "bacterial SSU rRNA". It matches the Rfam family "Bacterial small subunit ribosomal RNA", at positions 895 to 1379 of the family's 1533-position model. The record is from RNAcentral.